Molecule: ribosomal RNA, 1432 nt
Filed under: uncultured bacterium
Lineage: Bacteria
Description: partial 16S ribosomal RNA
Rfam family: Bacterial small subunit ribosomal RNA
Source: RNAcentral
GAUCAUGGCUCAGAACGUACGCUGGCGGCACGCCUAACACAUGCAAGUCGAACGCAGUAGCAAUACUGAGUGGCAGACGGGUGAGUAACAUGUGGGAAUCUGCCUUGUGGUUCAGGACAACAUUGGGAAACCGAUGCUAAUACUGGAUAAGCCCUUACGGGGAAAGUUUUAAUGCCAUAAGAUGAGCCCGCAUUUGAUUAGUUAGUUGGUGAGGUAAUGGCUCACCAAGACAAUGAUCAAUAGCUGAUCUGAGAGGAUGAUCAGCCACACUGGGACUGAGACACGGCCCAGACUCCUACGGGAGGCAGCAGUGGGGAAUCUUGCACAAUGGAGGAAACUCUGAUGCAGCGAUGCCGCGUGAGUGAAGAAGGCCUUUGGGUUGUAAAGCUCUUUUGUAGGGGAAGAUAAUGACUGUACCCUAAGAAUAAGGUCCGGCUAACUUCGUGCCAGCAGCCGCGGUAAUACGAAGGGACCUAGCGUAGUUCGGAAUUACUGGGCGUAAAGCGCGCGUAGGCCGUUGAGUUAGUUAAUUGUGAAAUCCCAAAGCUUAACUUUGGAACUGCAAUUAAAACUGCUCGACUAGAGUUUGAUAGAGGAAAGCGGAAUACAUAGUGUAGAGGUGAAAUUCGUAGAUAUUAUGUAGAACACCAGUUGCGAAGGCGGCUUUCUGGGUCAACACUGACGCUGAGGCGCGAAAGUAUGGGUAGCAAAGAGGAUUAGAUACCCUCGUAGUCCAUACCAUAAACGAUGAUUGCUAGAUGUUGGAAAUUUAUUUUCAGUAUCGCAGCUAACGCAUUAAGCAAUCCGCCUGGGGAGUACGACCGCAAGGUUAAAACUCAAAUGAAUUGACGGGGACCCGCACAAGCGGUGGAGCAUGUGGUUUAAUUCGAAGAUACGCGCAGAACCUUACCAACCCUUGACAUGUCUGUCGCGAGUUUAGGAAACUAGACUUUUCGGUUCGGCCGGACAGAACACAGGUGGUGCAUGGCUGUCGUCAGCUCGUGUCGUGAGAUGUUGGGUUAAGUCCCGCAACGAGCGCAACCCUCGUCUUGUGUUGCCAACAGGUAAUGCUGGGAACUCACAAGAGACUGCCGGGGUCAACUCGGAGGAAGGUGGGGACGACGUCAAGUCAUCAUGCCCCUUAUGUCUAGGGCUGCACGCAUGCUACAAUGGCCGAUACAAAGGGCUGCGAUACCGUAAGGUGGAGCGAAUCCCAUAAAGUCGGUCUCAGUUCGGAUUGAGGUCUGCAACUCGACCUCAUGAAGUUGGAGUUGCUAGUAAUCGCGGAUCAGCAACGCCGCGGUGAAUACGUUCCCGGGCCUUGUACACACCGCCCGUCACGUCAUGAAAGUCGGUAACACCCAAAAACAGUGGUCCAACCGCAAGGAGGAAGCUGUCUAAGGUGGGAUCGGUGAUUGGGACGAAGUCGUAA